RNAcentral lists this ribosomal RNA (233 nucleotides) under uncultured bacterium. RNAcentral's name for it is "partial 16S ribosomal RNA". It matches the Rfam family "Bacterial small subunit ribosomal RNA", at positions 103 to 334 of the family's 1533-position model. The record is from RNAcentral.
CGGGUGAGUAACGCGUGAGGAACCUGCCUCAAAGAGGGGGACAACAGUUGGAAACGACUGCUAAUACCGCAUAAGCCCACGGCUCGGCAUCGAGCAGAGGGAAAAGGAGCAAUCCGCUUUGAGAUGGCCUCGCGUCCGAUUAGCUAGUUGGUGAGGUAAUGGCCCACCAAGGCGACGAUCGGUAGCCGGACUGGGAGGUUGAACGGCCACAUUGGGACUGAGACACGGCCCAG